GACGAACGCUGGCGGCGUGCUUAACACAUGCAAGUCGAACGGAAAGGCUCCAGCUUGCUGGAGUGCUCGAGUGGCGAACGGGUGAGUAACACGUGGGCAAUCUGCCCUGCACUCUGGGAUAAGCCUGGGAAACUGGGUCUAAUACCGGAUAGGACCUUUCUCCUCAUGGGGUUUGGUGGAAAGUUUUUCGGUGCAGGAUGAGCCCGCGGCCUAUCAGCUUGUUGGUGGGGUAAUGGCCUACCAAGGCGACGACGGGUAGCCGGCCUGAGAGGGUGAUCGGCCACAUUGGGACUGAGAUACGGCCCAGACGCCUACGGGAGGCAGCAGUGGGGAAUAUUGCACAAUGGGCGAAAGCCUGAUGCAGCGACGCCGCGUGAGGGAUGACGGCCUUCGGGUUGUAAACCUCUUUCAGUAGGGACGAAGCGCAAGUGACGGUACCUGCAGAAGAAGCACCGGCUAACUACGUG
Molecule: ribosomal RNA, 467 nt
Filed under: uncultured bacterium
Lineage: Bacteria
Description: partial 16S ribosomal RNA
Rfam family: Bacterial small subunit ribosomal RNA
Source: RNAcentral